Molecule: ribosomal RNA, 207 nt
Filed under: uncultured bacterium
Lineage: Bacteria
Description: partial 16S ribosomal RNA
Rfam family: Bacterial small subunit ribosomal RNA
Source: RNAcentral
CGCGUAGGCGGCGUGACAAGUCACUUGUGAAAUCUCCGGGCUUAACUCGGAACGGCCAAGUGAAACUGUCAUGCUAGAGUGCAGAAGGGGCAAUCGGAAUUCUUGGUGUAGCGGUGAAAUGCGUAGAUAUCAAGAGGAACACCUGAGGUGAAGACGGGUUGCUGGGCUGACACUGACGCUGAGGCGCGAAAGCCAGGGGAGCAAACG